Molecule: transfer RNA, 87 nt
Filed under: Alphaproteobacteria bacterium
Lineage: Bacteria; Pseudomonadati; Pseudomonadota; Alphaproteobacteria
Description: tRNA-Leu
Rfam family: tRNA
About the family: Transfer RNA (tRNA) molecules are approximately 80 nucleotides in length. Their secondary structure includes four short double-helical elements and three loops (D, anti-codon, and T loops). Further hydrogen bonds mediate the characteristic L-shaped molecular structure. tRNAs have two regions of fundamental functional importance: the anti-codon, which is responsible for specific mRNA codon recognition, and the 3' end, to which the tRNAs corresponding amino acid is attached (by aminoacyl-tRNA synthetases). tRNAs cope with the degeneracy of the genetic code in two manners: having more than one tRNA (with a specific anti-codon) for a particular amino acid; and 'wobble' base-pairing, i.e. permitting non-standard base-pairing at the 3rd anti-codon position.
Source: RNAcentral
GCCUGCUUGGUGGAAUUGGUAGACACAACAGACUUAAAAUCUGUCGAUUUUACGAUCGUGCCGGUUCAACUCCGGCAGCGGGCACCA